This is a long non-coding RNA of Daphnia pulicaria, 3171 nucleotides long. RefSeq lists it as uncharacterized. Lineage: Eukaryota; Metazoa; Arthropoda; Branchiopoda; Diplostraca; Daphniidae. The record is from RefSeq and is a predicted model, not a curated record. The transcript has 3 exons.
AGCUGCUGCAGCUGGAGGAACCGCACGGAAAUCUAGCUACCUGGCCAAUUUGUCGUUUGAUCUCCUAGUAACUCGCUCUUCUUGCUCUGGUGGAGGUCAAGCAGUUCUAGUUGUUUUUUAAAUUUCCUUUUCUUCAGGGUGUGCAGCAGUGCGGGCGAUAGACGAAUUAGGAGGCAAACGUAUCGAUCCUCUUUUAGUUAUCACAAGGCGAAGACCUUGUGUUGAACAGACUGACAGAGAAGGAAAAGGAAAGGAAUCUCUGUGAAUCGUUUGGUCGACAACCGGCAUAACCCAGGGUGUGGUCGCAUAUGAUCGUUGCUGAUCUGCACAUUGGCGUUAGAAGAGAGAGGAAUGGGCAGGGCAGUGAUUUUUUCAACAGAAAGGCGAGGACUCUUGUUUUGUUUGCAACUUGUUGUUCUUGUACGAAUGAUCACCUCCAACAGUGGAGAAGGUGAGCAUUUAACAAGAGCCUAUAGGAGAUUCAGCAACAAUCGACUGCUGGUCGCUGUUGAACAAAUGAAAAAAACAAGUUCUCCUUGAAUAAGUUCGCUUUCAUUCCCAACUAUACACAGCUCCUAUUAUACAAAAACACGAAAUCUCCAGCUCUUCACGACGGAUUGCCUUUUUUUUCCUUUCCUAGUCUUAUUCUUCCCUAUUUACCAAAAAGCAAUGAGGAAGUGGCGCAACGCUCGCUGUCCUUCGAAUCUAUAACUGCCUUUCCACUUAAAGCUCGAAAUAUUUUUUUUGUUGUUGUUUGUUUCUUCUUCUUGGCCCUUCUCUUUUUGUCCCGGCGCUUAAUUUUUUUCUUUUGCCGAGUUGAUUGAUGUUGCUGACGGACUUCGAGUUGGCACGAACAUUCCGUUCGUCCUCCAAUGAUAAGCGGUACUACUCUUAAACUCUGAGUGACUUUUUUCGAGUUCGUUGGUCGAGAACCGCCGGUUUCUCCUCAUUGCUGGUGAGAAAUGUCGUCGUUGCGUCCCAUCCCGGCGAUACAAGGAUCGAGAUAAGCAUUUAUUAGAAGAAAACCCCGUAAAAUGACAUAGCCCGGGAUAUAUACAGCGAAGAGAGGAGAAAGAAAAAAUAAAAAAUGAGGAAGAAAGAGAAACGGUGUCGACACGAAAUCAUCAUCAUCACGGAUGAAUUCGCUCUCUCUAUAAAGCGAACUUUUUUUUUGUGUCCACCUCGCAAGUCUACUCAUCCGAUUAAUCUAUUACUGCACUCACGUUGUCGCCUUCUGGACGUAUAACGAAGCGUUAUUAGACGAUACCCUACACUACUAAGCGAAGAGUAAAAUGUAGGACUCGCACAUUAUGUGUGCUGCGUGUGGGUCACCUCUAUUUUUUCUGGGGAAUUUUAUUUCUCGAAAAUUGUUUCCCCCGCUUUACCUAUAUACAGCCGCAUAAAUAUAUCCCGUACCAUUGGACACAUAUGCCUUGUAGCUAUUUCAUGCAUGGAUUAGAAUGUUGAGUGCAUAUUUCCGGAUCGGGCCACACAGCAGCUACGCAACAAACGCACAUUCAAGGAUUUUUGUAAAUUCUUAGAUUCGAAUGGAGGUGGUAUAGGCGAUCGAUCAGUAAGAUUUACAGAUGGCAUUUUUUCUAACUUAAUUAGCUCGCUAUUGAGAUCUUCGAUAAACGCACUGAAAGGUUUUAUUUCACUCUGCUAAAAUAGAAAGUGUGGUCGCGUUCCUGUCGUAUAGUUGAGACUAAAGAUACAGCGAAGAUAGUACAAGAUUUUUACCGAUGUGGACCAGAAUGUUAUUUAUUUCUUCUCGACACUUUGGAAAUGUCACCUCCAUUUUAUUGGCAGGAGAUUGGCCGAGCCGAUAGCGAAAAGUGAAUGUCUUUUUGGGGUUGAAAUCGUGUGCUGUUGCUUAAUCGUGCCCCUUUUUAUAUUUCCAGUUGAUUCAAAUUGCAAAACGAAUUUUUGCCUAGAACUAAAAUUCAUGGACAUUUUUGCUGCGCAGCCAAUCGAAUGUUGCAUUUACAUUUGUUAAAUGCUUUUUCUUUUUCAGCGGUCGUCAGGUGGUCAGGUAGUCGCGGGGGGAAUCCAGCUCCUGGUUUCUUUCAUUUAUCCUCUUAACGUUAUUAUUCCUACUUUUUGCGAUUGCCUUAUAAUUUCCUUACAAAAAAUUAACGCUAUGUACUGCGGCCCGCUUUCCACAAUAGUUUCGGUCGCAAUGGAGACACUGUUGAAGUCAUUUCAAGAAAAUACCCCUUCCUACCCGCAACAAAUGGAGCGUGAAACAUUGUCGGGACUAAACGAGGUCGCCACCGCCAUCGAUCGCUUCCGUUUUCGGUGCGGCGAUGAACCAAUCACCUAAAUUUUUUUAUAUUUUUACUUGUCGAGGGAAGUAUAAAAAAAAAAAAAACAACAAAAAUUCCGAUGAGACGUCACCGCCGUGCGUUUCGUCUCAUUGUUCAAUUCCGCUCGGUAGGCCGGCAGCACGGGGGGCUGGUUGCUGGCUUGCUGCACACUGCGUUCCAUCCGUUCCGUCAGGGCCUGUUAUCUCCAAUGAAGCGAAUAUGAAGCUGCUUCAAACUUUCUCGUUUGACACGGUCCCGCAACAGAAACUGUGUACUACCAACGCCAACAAGAGAAGAAAGAGUUAGAACGAUGCACAGACUCGGUUUGAAAACAAGAAAAAAAAAGAACCAGCGAACGAUUGCGGCCAUUAAUUGUAACCACGCAUUAAAAGAUGAACGUUAUCUGUCUGCUCCGUGUAGGAGUGACGUGUGUUUUGCUGCGUGUUUUGAAAAGUUCGGGAUUGAAAACCAAAAGGGCAUCAAGACAUCAGCAAGCGAGAGAAGUGAAAGGCGACAAAAGAGAAAGAGGACACACCAGCAAUUCGUCGCUGCGCUGCUGAUUCAUCAAGCGAGAUGUUUUGAUUUGUGGCAUCGCGGGAUAUUCAAAGCGAGAGAUAGCAGGCUACGCUGCUCAUAAUCGUGGGCAUGCACACACACACAAGGAGAGUUGGCAGGGCCGUCGAGGUCCGCGAGAAAGUUGAUGCGGCGGUCGUCCUCCCUCAACAAACAAACGAAAAGACACGACACAGCCCGGCGACAUCAAUAUACCCGCAAGAAACAAAAAGAAACCUGUUUAACAAAAUUGCCAAUCUGCUUAAUUACAGGAACUGGCACUGCCAGGUCUCCCGUAGAGAUAUAAUACAAA